RNAcentral lists this ribosomal RNA (494 nucleotides) under uncultured bacterium. RNAcentral's name for it is "partial 16S ribosomal RNA". It matches the Rfam family "Bacterial small subunit ribosomal RNA", at positions 28 to 507 of the family's 1533-position model. The record is from RNAcentral.
GACGAACGCUGGCGGCGUGCUUAACACAUGCAAGUCGAACGGUGAAGCGCCUUCCUUUUUGGUGGGUGUGGAUGAGUGGCGAACGGGUGAGUAACACGUGAGUAACCUGCCCCCUUCUUCUGGAUAACCGCAUGAAAGUGUGGCUAAUACGGGAUAUUCUGGGUCUGUCGCAUGAUGGGUCUGGGAAAGAUAUUGUUUCGGUGGGGGAUGGGCUCGCGGCCUAUCAGCUUGUUGGUGGGGUGAUGGCCUACCAAGGCGGUGACGGGUAGCCGGCCUGAGAGGGUGGACGGUCACACUGGGACUGAGACACGGCCCAGACUCCUAGGGGAGGCAGCAGUGGGGAAUAGUGCACAAUGGGCGCAAGCCUGAUGCAGCGACGCCGCGUGAGGGAUGGAGGCCUUCGGGUUGUGAACCUCUUUCGCCAGUGAAGCAGGGCUGCCUCGUUUGUGGGUGGGUUGACGGUAGCUGGAGAAGAAGCGCCGGCUAACUACGUG